CCACUCCAAAUUGCCUACCGCCCCAACAGAUCCACAGAUGAUGCAACCUCUAUUGCACUCCAACUGCCUUUUCUCACCAGGACAAAAGGAACACCUAUGUGAGAAUGCUAUUCAUUGACUACAGCUCAGUGUUCAACACCAUAGUGCCUUCAAAGCUCAUUACUAAGCUAAGGACCCUGGAACUCAACACCUCACUCUGCAACUGGAUCCUGGAUGCCCCCAGGUGAUAAGGGUAGGCAACAACACAUCUGCCAGGGGACCCUCAGGGGUGCGUGCUUAGUCCCCUCCUGUACUCCCAGUUCACUCAUGACUGCAUGGCCAGGCAUGACUCCAACACCAUCAUUAAGAUUGCUGACGACACAACAGUGAUAGGCCUGAUCACCGACAACAAUGAGACUACAAGGAGGAGGUCACAGACCUGGCCAUGUGGUGCCAGGAUAACAACCUCUCCCUUAACAUGAUCAAGACAAAGGAGAUGAUUGUGGGCUACAGGAAAAGGAGGACUAAGCACGCCCCCAUUCUCAUCAACAGGGCUGUAGUGGAGCAGGUUGAGAGCUUCAAGUUCCUUGGUGUCCACAUCACCAACAAACUAUCAUGGUCCAAACACACCAAAACAAUCAAGAACGGUAUCCCCAGCAGCGUCCUCAGAGCAUGCGCAGACCAGCUGGCUGGUGUGUUUACAGACAUAUUCAAUCAUUCCUUAUCCAAGUCUGCUGUUCCCACAUGCUUCAAGAGAGCCACCAUUGAGAGCCACCAUUUUCCCAAGAAAGCUAAGGUAACUGAGCUAAACGACUACCGCACCGUAGCACUCACUUCCGUCAUCAUGAAGUGCUUUGAGAGACUAGUCAAGGACCAUAUCACCUCCACCCUACCUGACACCCUAGACCCACUCCAAUUUGCUUACCGCUCCAAUAGGUCCACAGACGAUGCAAUUGCAAUCGCACCCACACUGCACACUGCCCUAACCCAUCUGGACAAGAGGAAUACCUAUGUGAGAAUGCUGUUCAUCGACUACAGCUCAGCAUUUCACACCAUAGUACCCUCCAAAUUUGUCAUCAAGCUCGAGACCCUAGGUCCUCAACACUGGGGCCCCACAAGGGUGUGUUCUGAGCCGUCUCCUGUACCUCUCCUGUACUCUCUGUUCACCCACGACUGCAUGGCCAUGCAAGCCUCCAACUCAAUCAUCAAGUUUGCAGAUGACACUACAGUGGUAGGCUUGAUUACCAACAAUGACGAGACCGCCUACAGGGAGGAGGUGAGGGCCCUCGGAGUGUGGUGUCAGUAAAAUAACCUCACACUCAACGUCAACAAAACAAAGGAGAACAUAGUGGACUUCAGGAAACAGCAGAGGGAGCACCCCCCUAUCCACAUCGACGGGACAGUAGUGGAGAGGGUAGUAAGUUUUAAGUUCCUGGGCGUACACAUCAUGGACAAACUGAAUUGGUCCACCCACACAGAAAGCAGCACCUCUUCAACCUCAGGAGGCUGAAGAAAUUUGGCUUGUCACCAAAAGCACUCAGACUUCUGCAGAUGCACAAUCAAGAGCAUCCUGUUAGGCUGUAUCACCGCCUGAUAUGUGUUUUGUCUAGUCUAGGGGUUUUGUAUGUUUAUGGGGCUGUCCCCUUUCUAGGUAGUUUUGUAUGUCUAUGGUUGCCUAGAUUGGUUCUCAAUUAGAGGCAGCUGUCUGUCGUUGUCUCUGAUUGGGAACCAUAUUUAGGCAGCCAUGUGCUUUGGGUAUUUUGUGGGUUAUUGUCUUCUGUCAUUGCACCAAAUAGGACUGUUUCGGUUUUCACAUUUGUUGUUUUGUGUUUUGUAGUGUUUAUCAUCUAUAUUAAAGAUGUUGAACACGAACCACGCUGCAUUUUGGUCCUCCUCUCCUUCAGCGGAAGAAAACCGUUACAACAACGCAUCACCGGGGGCAAACUACCUGCCCUCCAGGACACCUACACCACCCGAUGUCACAGAAAGGCCAUAAAGAUCAUCAAGGACAACGCUCACCCCGCUAUCAUCCAGAAGAUCCAGUACUACACCAUCGAGAGCAUGGUUGCAUCACUGCCUGGUAUGGCAACUUCUCAUCCUCUGACCGCAAGGCCCUCCGACCACAAGGCAGAUGGUAGUGCAUACAGCCCAGUACAUCACUGGGGCCAAGUUUCCUGCCAUCCAGGACCUCUAGCGCUUGCC
Oncorhynchus tshawytscha (Chinook salmon) is the source of this 2181-nucleotide long non-coding RNA. Lineage: Eukaryota; Metazoa; Chordata; Actinopteri; Salmoniformes; Salmonidae. The record is from Ensembl.